GCGGCGUGCUUAAACAUGCAAGUCGARSGKKKUUYKYKYCUUCGGGUGGGGAUUAGUGGCGAACGGGUGAGUAAMAMGUGGGCAAUCUSCCCUGCACUCUGGGACAAGCCCUGGAAACGGGGUCUAAUACCGGAUACUGAACCACUUGGGCAUCCUGGUGGUUCGAAAGCUCCGGCGGUGCAGGAUGAGCCCGCGGCCUAUCAGCUUGUUGGUGAGGUAACGGCUCACCAAGGCGACGACGGGUAGCCGGCCUGAGAGGGCGACCGGCCACACUGGGACUGAGACACGGCCCAGACUCCUACGGGAGGCAGCAGUGGGGAAUAUUGCACAAUGGGCGAAAGCCUGAUGCAGCGACGCCGCGUGAGGGAUGACGGCCUUCGGGUUGUAAACCUCUUUCAGCAGGGAAGAAGCGAGAGUGACGGUACCCUGCAGAAGAAGCGCCCGGCUAACUACGUGCCASCAKCCCSCGGUA
This 472-nucleotide ribosomal RNA is filed under the name Streptomyces sp. BAB-4321. RNAcentral describes it as "partial 16S ribosomal RNA". It matches the Rfam family "Bacterial small subunit ribosomal RNA", at positions 39 to 522 of the family's 1533-position model. Lineage: Bacteria; Bacillati; Actinomycetota; Actinomycetes; Kitasatosporales; Streptomycetaceae. The record is from RNAcentral.